Molecule: ribosomal RNA, 801 nt
Filed under: uncultured bacterium
Lineage: Bacteria
Description: bacterial SSU rRNA
Rfam family: Bacterial small subunit ribosomal RNA
Source: RNAcentral
AGAGUUUGAUCAUGGCUCAGAUUGAACGCUGGCGGCAGGCCUAACACAUGCAAGUCGAGCGGUAGCACAAGAGAGCUUGCUCUCUGGGUGACGAGCGGCGGACGGGUGAGUAAUGUCUGGGAAACUGCCUGAUGGAGGGGGAUAACUACUGGAAACGGUAGCUAAUACCGCAUAACGUCUUCGGACCAAAGUGGGGGACCUUCGGGCCUCACGCCAUCAGAUGUGCCCAGAUGGGAUUAGCUAGUAGGUGGGGUAAUGGCUCACCUAGGCGACGAUCCCUAGCUGGUCUGAGAGGAUGACCAGCCACACUGGAACUGAGACACGGUCCAGACUCCUACGGGAGGCAGCAGUGGGGAAUAUUGCACAAUGGGCGCAAGCCUGAUGCAGCCAUGCCGCGUGCGUGAAGAAGGCCUUCGGGUUGUAAAGCACUUUCAGCGAGGAGGAAGGGUAGUGUGUUAAUAGCACAUUGCAUUGACGUUACUCGCAGAAGAAGCACCGGCUAACUCCGUGCCAGCAGCCGCGGUAAUACGGAGGGUGCAAGCGUUAAUCGGAAUUACUGGGCGUAAAGCGCACGCAGGCGGUUUGUUAAGUCAGAUGUGAAAUCCCCGCGCUUAACGUGGGAACUGCAUUUGAAACUGGCAAGCUAGAGUCUUGUAGAGGGGGGUAGAAUUCCAGGUGUAGCGGUGAAAUGCGUAGAGAUCUGGAGGAAUACCGGUGGCGAAGGCGGCCCCCUGGACAAAGACUGACGCUCAGGUGCGAAAGCGUGGGGAGCAAACAGGAUUAGAUACCCCGGUAGUCCAA